AACGCACAUUGCGCCCUUUAGUAUUCUGAGGGGCAUGCCUGUUCGAGCGUCAUUAUCACUAAUCAAGCCUGGCUUGCUGUUGGACCUCUUGUCGUUAAAAGACAGGUUCCAAAGAUAAUGACGGCGUCAAUUGGACCCUAGAUGCAACGAGCUUUCAUUAGCACGCAUGUUAGAAGCCUUUUGACCCGGUCUUUAACCAUUUUUCUCAGGUUGACCUCGGAUCAGGUAGGAAUACCCGCUGAACUUAA
Molecule: unclassified non-coding RNA, 248 nt
Filed under: uncultured fungus
Lineage: Eukaryota; Fungi
Description: sequence contains ITS2
Source: RNAcentral